RNAcentral lists this unclassified non-coding RNA (609 nucleotides) under Hevea brasiliensis (rubber tree). Lineage: Eukaryota; Viridiplantae; Streptophyta; Magnoliopsida; Malpighiales; Euphorbiaceae. The record is from RNAcentral.
AUAGAUCAAACAAAUAAGAUCAAAUCGUCAAUUUUUCACUAGUUAUUGAAAUCAGAAACAAUAGAAAAAUAAAAACAGUUUACAAAUUUUUAUUUAAUUUAGAAUUCUUAAUCAGUGCUUGUGAAAAUCAGGAUCCUUGACCACCGUGACAGGACAGGUUGCAUGAGACAUGACAUAGUUGGUCACACUUCCCAUAAAUAUCCUUUGGAGGGUAGUAAGGCCUCUACUACCCAUAACCAAAGAAUUCAAUUUCAAAUCUUCAACAGCUUCACACAAUCUCUCCCUUGCAUCUCCCCAAUAUAGUUUGGUCACAAAUUUUAUCUCUUUCUGCCUAGAAGCAGUAUCAAGCAUAUCAAGAAGUUCAAUAUCAAUCUCCACACCAUAUUUCUCUAAUACUUCUGGCUCUCUAAACUCCGCCAACGGAAUCAAAGGCGAACCAGAUUUAGCCCAUAACUUAUUACGUGACUCAUCAGAAGAAUGAUUCUUGAUGUGAAUGAUGUAAAAAAUAUCAUCUUUAUCAGCCAAGUUAUCAAUUGCCCAUUUCAAAGCUGUUUUGCUACUCUUUGAAAAAUCCAUUGCAACACCAAUUGUUCUAUCUUUCACCAUUUU